GUGAACGCUGGCGGUAGGCCUAACCCAUGCAAGUCGAACGGCAGCACAGUAAGAGCUUGCUCUUACGGGUGGCGAGUGGCGGACGGGUGAGGAAUACAUCGGAAUCUACUUUUUCGUGGGGGAUAACGUAGGGAAACUUACGCUAAUACCGCAUACGACCUACGGGUGAAAGCAGGGGAUCUUCGGACCUUGCGCGAUUGAAUGAGCCGAUGUCGGAUUAGCUAGUUGGCGGGGUAAAGGCCCACCAAGGCGACGAUCCGUAGCUGGUCUGAGAGGAUGAUCAGCCACACUGGAACUGAGACACGGUCCAGACUCCUACGGGAGGCAGCAGUGGGGAAUAUUGGACAAUGGGCGCAAGCCUGAUCCAGCCAUACCGCGUGGGUGAAGAAGGCCUUCGGGUUGUAAAGCCCUUUUGUUGGGAAAGAAAGGCAGCAGGUUAAUACCCCGCUGUUCUGACGGUACCCAAAGAAUAAGCACCGGCUAACUUCGUG
Molecule: ribosomal RNA, 491 nt
Filed under: uncultured bacterium
Lineage: Bacteria
Description: partial 16S ribosomal RNA
Rfam family: Bacterial small subunit ribosomal RNA
Source: RNAcentral